ACUUAUUCAAACCUGUUAUCAACAAUAUUAAAAAUUAAGCGGAAUAAAUAAGUUUAGCGGAAGACUUAACAAAUUUUACUAGAUGCAAUACUGAAAUUCCAACAUAAAACACUACCCAAGAACUGGUUUCACAAUACUCACGAACUUCUAAGAAUACACAUAACCGUCUGAAAGAAAUAAAAUAAUUUUUGUCUCGAAUAUAUGAGAUAACAUACUGAAAAUAAAGAUAGAGGAUACGCCGGGUCCUGAAGACGCCUGCAAGGCGACCUCGGUGUCUCGAUGAUCAAAUGCUAACACCCGCACUACUGCUGGUGCUGCUCUCCAAAACCUGAACUUGCGCAAAAAGAGCGCAGAGUGUAGUAUCAACACGACCGACCCCAUGUGCUGAUAAGUGCCCGGCCUAUCUCGGCGAAGUAGUGACAAGGAUAGACCAGACACUGACAUAAACCAGUACAGUUCAAAUAUAUAUACAACAAAAAGAACAGGAAGCAUACAUUAAAUAUUUGGGAAGGGAAAACAAUGCUCUAGGGUAGCGACAAAAUGUAAUACAGGUGCAGAAUAAAUGAACUUCAAUUAAUGAGGACGGGUAAAUCAAAAUCUGCACGGCAUCAACCAUCUUCCUUUUACUCUCGUUCUUACCAAAUAAUCAUAUAAGAUGUACAACAUCACUCGUCGUACUUUUACUCUCGUUCUCACCAAAUAAUCAAUUAAGAUGUACGACAUCACCCAUGGUACUUUUACUCUCACACUCUCAUAUCGAGACACGGAAAGACCCAUCAUGCAUAAUCACUCUUCCUUGUCACCGGCAACUAUGGCCAAUAACAAUAAUCAUUGUAAUAUAUAUAUAUAUCAAAACACGAAAAGACUCGCAUUUCAUUAUCAACUCAGUUCACAAUAUGUCACCGACAACUAUGGCAAAUAACAAUAAUCAAUAUCUAUUAAUGAUGCGGCGUGCAUCUCGACCCUUCCGAUAUGUCACCGGCAACUAUGGCCAAUAACCGUAAUCAAUGCAAUAUAUUACCGACAGAAAACCAAUAAUCUUUUAAAUCCUCAAGGCAUGGAAAGACCCAUCGUGCAUAAUCACUCUUCUUUGUCACCGGCAACUAUGGCCAAUAACAAUAAUCAUUAUAUAUUUUACCAGCAGAAAACCAAUAAUAAUUAAUCAACUAUAUUAUAUAUAUAUAUAUAUACACACAUAUAUAUUACCGGUAUGAAAUCAAUAAUUUUUUAUUUCAACAAUAUCAAUAUUACCGGUAGGAAACCAAUAAUCUUUUAAAUAAACAAUAUAAAUAUUACCGGUAUGAAACCAAUAAUAAUAAUUGCUUUCAUAUAACCUUAUAAGAUUCUUAAAAUUUUAUCAAUUUAAGACUCACAGUGAUGCUCGACCCCCGACGUAUAGAUACUCGUCACCAUGCAUAUACGUCGGACUCCACACAUAGCAAUUAGCUUAUAGACUCAACUCUUAUUCCCUCAAGCUAUGAUAGAUCAAACACUUACCUUGAAGGUUUACCGCAAAUUCAAUCCUUAAGUGAUGCCCUUUCUUUUCGAAUUUGUCUCCUAUUUCAUUAUAUCUAUACAAAAUUGAUUUAAUAUCAUCAAUACUACUUAACCAAAUUAUCCAAAUGGCUGAAUAUAUAUUUUACAACUUUCUGCCCGGAAUAGUAAAAAUCGACCGCGGGCCCACAUGGUCAAAACACGAGGUUCAAAAAGAUUUCCGACAAUCCAUUCAUCCACGAGUCAAAAUAUACAAUUUGUUCUUAAGAUCGACCCUAAAACAAGGUCUAAAUCACAAUUUAUUUGAAAACCCUAACUAAACCCAUAUCUCUAAUUUUCUACCUAUUUUCACAUGUUUAGGCCUUAGAAUUUGAUUUAUGUUGAAGAGAAAUGAAGAAAAUAAGUUCAACAAUACUUACCUAAGAGGUUUGAUGAAGAAUCGCCCAAGAAUCGCCCAAAAAUGGUGUUGAAGAAGAGAGAGUUUUGAGAAAUGGGAUUUAAUCCCGUUCUGUUCUGUUUUUCAGAACUUAAAAUCAUUGGGUGGAACUUUAUUCAUCGCGUUUGCAACAUAGGCUCGCGUUUGCGAAGGUUUGAGGUUUUCUGGGCAUCGCGUUCGCGAUGUACGUAUGGGAACGCGUAGAGGAAAAUGGGAGCGGUUUACAACUGGCCUACGCGAACGCGUAGGGAAAAGGGCAGGGGUCUUGUGCGGCUUAUAUGCGAACGCAAAGGACAUCCAAGUCUGCGAAGAGAGGGGGUGUCACUGGGCAUCACGAACGCGAGGGGCGUCCGCGAACACGAAGAAGAGGCUGGGCAUCGCAAACGCGAGGUAUGUCCGCAUUAGCGAAGAAGGAAAUGUCUGUGCAAAAAUUGCGGCAAAUUUGCCAAUUUCCCAAGUCCAAAAACACCCCGAACCACCUCCAAAACGCUCAAGAGCCCUUGGGGCUCCAAACCAAAUAUGCACACUAACUCAAUAACAUCAUACGAACUUGCUCGAUCGAUUAAAUCGCCAAAAUAACAUUAAAAUCCAAGAAUUUAGCGUUAAAUCCCAAGAAAUCUUUCAAUUUUUCAUAAACAUUCAAAUUUCCAAUUUAAGGCCGAAAUAUGUCAAACGACGUCCGUUUUUAACAAAGCUUUACAGCAAGCGCUUAAACAACAUAUAUGACCUGUACCGGGCGUCAGAACCAAAAUACUAGCCCGAUACCAUUACUUUCAGAUCAAAUUUCAUUCUCAUUUCCUUAAGCAUUUUUUGUACACAAAUUUCACGGAAAAAUACUUUUCUCGGGCCUGGGAUCUCGGAAUUUGAUUCCGGGCAUAUGCCCAAGUCCCAUAUUUUUCUGCGGACCUUCCGAGACCGUCAAAUCACGUGUUCUUUUACCAAAAAUGUUGACCAAAGUCAACUUAUCAUUAUAAAUAUCAAAAUUCUUCAAAGUUUUCACUUAAUUCAUAUAUAUCAAGAAAAACAAUUUUCCGGCUUUGCGCCCGGAUUGCGCACGCAAAUCGAGACAUCUAAUAGUGAGCUUUUCAAGACCUCUAAUGUCGAAAUGACUAAUAAAACCAAUUAUGACCCUUUGGGUCGUCACAUUCUCCACCUCUCAAACAAGUGAUGAACCUUCUUACCCUCUCUCUAUCGGUAGGGAGUAUGACAAUGGCAUGCCGAUCUAGAUCAAUAAACCGGGUCUCAUACUGUGUAACUGACAUCGAGCCCUGCUGAAGGCGCUCAAACUGCCUGCGAAGAGCCUCCAUCUGAGUCACUGGGAGAAACUUCUCCAAAAAUAAUCCUGCAAACUGGUCUCAAGUCAAAGAUGGCGACCCUGCUUGUUUGGAUAAAUAGUAGUCUCUCCACCAAGUCUUCGCGGAUCUAGAUAGACGAAAAGUGGCAAUGUCAACACCAUUGGUCUCCACAAUACCCGUAGUCCGGAGGACCUCAUGGCAGCUAUAUAUGAAGUCCUAGGGAUCCUCUGAAUAAGUACCACUGAAUGUAGUGGUAAAGAGUUUGGUGAAUUUGUCCAAUCUCCAUAAAGCAUCGGCGGACAUGGCAGCACCCUCACCAAACUGAGUCACUAUGCCUGGCUGAACUUCCAUAACUGGCUGAACCACUGGAACUUUAACCUGGGGAGCUAGUGGCUCCGAAGUGCCUGUAGCAGUAGUCUGAUUAUCUCCUCCAGCCUGAGAAGUGCUUGGCAAUGCUGGAAGCAAACCCGCUCUAGAAAUACCCUCCGUAAAACCCACUAGAUCAGGUGGGGCCGGAACCUCCUCAGCAUUAAUCUGAGGCUCCGCCACCGGUGCUGCUGCUCGGGGCUGAGAUUUGCCCCUACCUCGGCCUCUAGGAUGACUUCGACCUCGGCCUCUAGGACGACCUCGACCUCGGCCUCUGCCCCUAGCUAGAGCUGCUACUAGGGCCUCGGGAUUUUGAUCAUUAGAUGAGGAAGUGCGUGUUCUUGCCAUCUAUGGAAGAUUAGAGUAGAAAUUUAAUUAGCAUUUGAAGAACAAUUUUGCACGAUAUGAAAGAAUGAAAGUGAAAUUUUCCUAACUCUGUAGCCUCUGGGGGAAAAAUACAGACGUCUCUGUACCGAUCACUUAGACUCUACUAAGUUUGUUCGUGAGUUGUGAGACCUAUGCAGCCUCAGGCUCUGAUACCAACUUGUCACGACCCGAAUUUCCCACCAUCGGGGUCAUGAUGGCGCCUACUAAUAGGAGCUAGGCAAGCCAACUCAAACUUAUGUUUCCAUUUUUUAACAAUUCUUAUUCAAACCUGUUAUCAACAAUAUUAAAAUUUAAGCGGAAUAAAUAAAUUUAGUGGAAGACUUAACAAAUUUUACAAGAUGCGAUACUGAAAUUCCAACGUAAAACACUACCCAAGAACUGGUGUCACAAUACUCACGAACUUCUAAGAAUAAUACACAUAGCCGUCUGAAAGAAAUAAAAUAUUGUUUGUCUCGAAUAUAUGAGAUAGCAUACUGAA
RNAcentral lists this long non-coding RNA (4456 nucleotides) under Nicotiana benthamiana. RNAcentral describes it as "long non-coding RNA (NBEN_LNC004404)". The record is from RNAcentral. Lineage: Eukaryota; Viridiplantae; Streptophyta; Magnoliopsida; Solanales; Solanaceae.